Molecule: ribosomal RNA, 445 nt
Filed under: uncultured bacterium
Lineage: Bacteria
Description: partial 16S ribosomal RNA
Rfam family: Bacterial small subunit ribosomal RNA
Source: RNAcentral
GUGAGGAAUAUUGCGCAAUGGAGGCAACUCUGACGCAGCCAUGCCGCGUGCAGGAAGAAGGCGCUACGCGUUGUAAACUGCUUUUAACCGGGAAGAAACCCCAGGACGUGUCCUGGGUUGACGGUACCGGAGGAAUAAGCACCGGCUAACUUCGUGCCAGCAGCCGCGGUAAUACGAAGGGUGCAAGCGUUAUCCGGAUUCAUUGGGUUUAAAGGGUGCGUAGGCGGAGAGUUAAGUCAGUGGUGAAAUCCUGCAGCUUAACUGUAGACUUGCCAUUGAUACUGGCGCUCUUGAGUGCGCUUGAAGUGGGCGGAAUGUGCCGUGUAGCGGUGAAAUGCUUAGAUAUGGCACAGAACACCAAUUGCGAAGGCAGCUCACUAAGGCGAUACUGACGCUGAGGCACGAAAGCGUGGGGAUCGAACAGGAUUAGAAACCCUAGUAGUCC